RNAcentral lists this ribosomal RNA (489 nucleotides) under uncultured Vibrio sp. Its description in RNAcentral is "bacterial SSU rRNA". It matches the Rfam family "Bacterial small subunit ribosomal RNA", at positions 8 to 477 of the family's 1533-position model. The record is from RNAcentral. Lineage: Bacteria; Pseudomonadati; Pseudomonadota; Gammaproteobacteria; Vibrionales; Vibrionaceae.
AGAGUUUGAUCAUGGCUCAGAUUGAACGCUGGCGGCAGGCCUAACACAUGCAAGUCGAGCGGAAACGAGUUCACUGAACCUUCGGGGAACGUGAACGGCGUCGAGCGGCGGACGGGUGAGUAAUGCCUGGGAAAUUGCCCUGAUGUGGGGGAUAACCAUUGGAAACGAUGGCUAAUACCGCAUAAUAGCUUCGGCUCAAAGAGGGGGACCUUCGGGCCUCUCGCGUCAGGAUAUGCCCAGGUGGGAUUAGCUAGUUGGUGAGGUAAGGGCUCACCAAGGCGACGAUCCCUAGCUGGUCUGAGAGGAUGAUCAGCCACACUGGAACUGAGACACGGUCCAGACUCCUACGGGAGGCAGCAGUGGGGAAUAUUGCACAAUGGGCGCAAGCCUGAUGCAGCCAUGCCGCGUGUAUGAAGAAGGCCUUCGGGUUGUAAAGUACUUUCAGCAGUGAGGAAGGUUCAUANGUUAAUAGCGUANGGAUUGACGUAG